ACGUGAGUAUCUACCUCCAGGUCGGGAACAGCCCGCGGAGACGCGGAUUAAUGCCCGAUGGUCCCUUCGGGGUAAAGAGGAAUCGCCCGGAGACGAGCUCGCGGCCCAUCAGCUUGUUGGCGGGGUAACGGCCCACCAAGGCGACGACGGGUAGGUGGUCUGAGAGGAUGGUCACCCACACUGGGACUGAGAUACUGCCCAGACUCCUACGGGAGGCUGCAGUCGAGAAUCAUCCGCAAUGGGCGAAAGCCUGACGGUGCAAUGCCGCGUGGGGGAUGAAGGCCUUCGGGUCGUAAACCCCUGUCAGAGGGGACGAAAAACAUGACGGUACCCUCAGAGGAAGCCACGGCUAACUACGUGCCAGCAGCCGCGGUAAUACGUAGGUGGCGAGCGUUAUUCGGAUUUACUGGGCGUAAAGGGUCCGCAGGGGGUUUGCCGAGUCCGAUGUGAAAGUCCGCAGCUCAACUGCGGAACUGCGUCGGAUACUGGUGAACUUGAGUGCGCGAAGGGCGAGCGGAAUUCCAGGUGUAGCGGUGGAAUGCGUAGAUAUCUGGAAGAACACCGGCGGCGAAAGCGGCUCGCUGGCGCGCCACUGACCCUCAUGGACGAAAGCGUGGGGAGCGAACAGGAUUAGAUACCCUGGUAGUCCACGCUGUAAACG
This 661-nucleotide ribosomal RNA is filed under the name uncultured organism. RNAcentral describes it as "bacterial SSU rRNA". It matches the Rfam family "Bacterial small subunit ribosomal RNA", at positions 115 to 808 of the family's 1533-position model. The record is from RNAcentral.